AGAAAAUCCUGGGAAAUUUCCUCUUGGCCCUUUUACGUGCCAUGGGCCUUUAAUCCUAGGCAAGAGGCUCUAAUAAUAGAAACUAGGAGACCUAAAAAUUGCUUGCACGAUGUAGGCGUGUUUGAUUGCUUGGUAUGGAACAGAGUGAAAUUGCUGGGCAUAUGUGUUGACACUUGAUAAGAAACACAGAUUCCCAGGUCACCUCAUAGACAGGGCUGCACUGGGCCUCCUGCCUAGGCCUGUUCGAUGAAGCACCAACAAGCCCCACAGCUUUGUUGCUUUUGCUAUGCCCACUGGGACCAGUGAGAGAAGUGCGGUCUUAUCCCUGGGAGGAGAGAAAGAGCCAGCAUCUGCAGGCGCCCACAGGAUGUCAAGGUCACAUGGAAUGAUGGUGAUCGAUAUAGACGUGAUCUCAGAGUUCACUCCCUCAUCAUACAGUGGAGGAAACGAGGCCCAGGGAGGGGCGGAACAUUUUUCCAAGUCAUACAGCAAGAACUCAGAGGCCUCUUGGUUCCUGCUCUUGCCUUGAGGUGGUUCUGCGGGGCGCUCCAGAGCCCCCAAGAAAUUCUUCUGAAAUUCAGUUCUCCACAGGACACCUGGGCUCCUCCUCUGUCCUCCCAGCCCCUCACAGAGGAGUAGUUUCCCUUCUGGCCUGCCUAAGUCUGUCUUGUCUUCUGGACUUCAGUGGCCACCAUGGACCUCCCAAGCUUUCUCUUGGGCUCUUCCAGUGCCGACCUCAGCUUGGCUGCCUCACACUCUGUCUGGUGGGCACUUACAGGAGCCAUGUCCACAGACCACCUCGCCUGGGCUGUGGAGGCCCCGUUCUGAGACCACGUGCAGUCCAAAAAAGGAAGCUAAAAGGGGUCAGAGGAAAACAUCCCCGUGUAGGGUGAGGGUGAAUCUCAGUCUCCCUGUCAACUCUCUUUAUCCUGACAUCCAGAAUUCCAGACCUUUGUGGGCACUGAUCCCUGAGACUGGGCUCUUUAAGCUCUUUCACUGAUCCCUGGGGUCCGAAACUUUCAGCUUGCACUUUGGUUUGGUAAACCACUGACUGUCCUACCAAACGCCCCCGCACCCCACAAACUCAACCUGUGCUCUUCAUGUGCUAUCUCCUGUUCGAUCCCCACACUGACCUUCUGGGUUAGGGACUUGCAUGUCCCCAUUUUAUAGAUGAGGAGCCUGAGGCCCAGAGAGGUAAGUCACCUGCCCAGUAUCACACAGCCUGAGAUUGGCAGAGCCAGAUCUCAUGGAAUGAGAGCCCUGUCUCACCUCCCUAGAGACAGAGCUUAAUUGAUAACUUUGAGUUGAUACUGAAAGGUCACAGGAAUUGCAGCAGAUAAGGUGUUCUGAGGAACUGGCUCUCUAGCACCUGUGGUAAUUAAUUCAGUAUCCCUUUUUGUGUCCCAGAGAAGCACAGUGGCUAAAGCGCACAGCACAAGCUUGGAGAUCAGAUGGACAUGGCUUCAAAUCUCGUCUCUGCUGUUUACAAAAAGUAUGACCCCAGGAGAGGGAUUUAUACCCUCUGAGCUGUAGUUUCCUCAUCCACAAUGUGGGAGCAGGAUUUUAGAGGAUACCGAGAGAUUAAAUGAGAUCUUUCUUAUAGAGUCCUUAGCAAGGGGCUUGGCACCAUGGAUGGUAAUAUCAUCAUGAUGAUGCCAGGUAUUUUCAUUGCUAUUCCUUAUUAUUCAUCAGUAUUUUUAUUCAUUGCUAUUGCUGGUUGUAUUCAUCAUUAAUAAAUAAUAGCAUUGUUUAUUAAUGUUAUUACUAAGUUCUCUGCUAUGUUCUGGGGCUCACAGAUGAAUUACACACUGUCUUUGCUCUCUGAGAGUCCCAGCCUGGAGGUGGGGAGAAGCCCCUUGGCUAGUGGGCUGAUGAUAAUGGCUAUGAUGGCACAGCAUUCUUUUCUCAGUAAGAGCAACUGACUGUCCGAGGGAGGUUAUACAGAAAAGGUGACAUUUGAGUGGGUUUAAAGGAUGACUAGGAGGUUUGGGGGCUGAAAAGAAAGGGCAGGGUGUUCCAGAUGUAGGGGGCAGUGUGUGUAAAGGAGCACAGAGGUGGGAACGAGUGUGACAUGAUUGUUUGGGGCAGGGCAAGCAUGCCAGCAUGGCUGGCGCUUGAGGCUUGCAGGCAGGGCUCACAGGGAUGGUGCUGGACAGGCUGCCCAGGGCCCUAGACAGCCAGCUUCUGGGGAGUCUUGCCUGCUGGAAAUAGGGAUCCAUGGUCAUUUGCAUGUCAGUAUGUAUGAGGACCUUUCCAGCACAGUGGAGAAUGGGGUGGCAGAGGGAUGGAGCAGUGGGGAGUAUGGCACUACAGGUCUGUGAGAAUUGAUAGGAGCUGGAAAGCUUGAGGGGGAGGGACAGGUUUGAGAAAGAUUAGGCAAGGAGAUAGAAGUGACUCUGUUUGCAUGUAUGGGCACCCAUGUGGGUGUAUGCAAGUGUGUUGGAGAUAGGCUAAGGUGGAAAGAAAGCAUGAGAUGAUGAUUUUGAACUUUCUUGAUUAAGAUGACAAAUGGGUUUCACUAGAAGCAUCUGUGGGACUUACAGACUGAACUCCCCGGUAGGCAAUGGGAAAUUGGCAGCAUUGGCCUUGCCUCCUCCAGGGUGUCCUCCUUGCAUCCCACGGGGUGUGUCAGGUCCUCCUCGGUGCCCACGGCCUGUGCCCUUGAGAGUUGCCUUCAUUCCAGCCUGGAUCCUGCUGGGUUUUAAUACCUUGUGGACUUGUCAGCCUUUCCACAAAGACUAUGAACUCCCCGAGACCAGGGGCUAUAUCUUCUUCAUUAUUCUAUCCUCAAGGUGUGGCAUCAUACCUGGCACACACAAGUGCUUGAAUCAAUGUUGCUAAAGUAACAAGAAAAUGCAAGUUUGAGUUUGGAAGUCAGAAGAGAAGUCGGGCUGGCCGUUUCGAACUGGCAUUACUCUGGGUGAGCAAGGAGAAGGCUGUGGCCUCAGAGAAUCAGCCCCCGAAUUGCUAAGCCAUAAUACUUGAUUUCCAAAUUGUCCCCUUGCAGGUGAGAUCACAGGGCAGGCCUGCCGAGAAUGUGCUUCCUGGGAAGUUCAGCUUCUCAGCCACCGUGACCUUCUGUCUCAGAAGGGCUGAUCUAGGGAGCAGGAAUUAGUCUGUUCAAUGUGCCCCCAGAAGUCCAAAACUAGAACAAGUGUCUGAAAAACAUCAACUACAAGAAAGUCGCUGCUGACCCGAAAGAAUCAAAUACGUUCUGUUGAUUAAAGUGAACAGAAAAACUAACAGCUCGGCUGCCUUGGAAGGAGUGAGCUCCUGAUCUUGGGAUGUGCCCAAGGGGCAGGCAUGAAAAUCUCCUGCAGCUCUGAGGCUCUAAGGCCUGUUUCGUGCAUCUGGAAGGACCUUGAUUAUUGAUAGCCUGUCUAGGUUGGCCCCACGUGCCUCCUCAAAGGAUUCUGUGAUGCCGGAGUAUGAACGAGUGAGACCUCACACCUGCUCUUUCCUUUUAAUCCUGACAUCUGUUUCCCACAGGAAAUGUCCAGAGCAAGUCAGAGUGGCCUUUUUCUCUUGGUUUUAUUUUCUUCCCUGCUAAGUUGGUCCUCAUCCCCUGGAUUAGGGCACAUUCCCAGUGCAUGAGGUCCUAGAAGAGGUGACUUCCCAGGUCACCCAGCCACUGUCCCUCACAGCUCGGUGCAGUCGCUGAAAUCAAUUCCUGCUCUGUCCCGUACUCACCUCUUUCCAAGCCUGAGCUUAUUCAUUUGAAAAAUGGCUGAAUCUCAUUGGCCUUGCAGCAUUGAUGUUUGUGUUCAUUGAACAAGCAUUCUCUGAGUAUCCAGUAUGUGCCAGGCACUGCGGUGAAUAAAAGAGACAGAGGCUCC
RNAcentral lists this long non-coding RNA (3836 nucleotides) under Homo sapiens (human). RNAcentral's name for it is "HSALNT0239592". The record is from RNAcentral. Lineage: Eukaryota; Metazoa; Chordata; Mammalia; Primates; Hominidae.